AACUACUACUGUCACCUAAGUAGUAAAACCGGAACAAGUAAAAUCAAACAAAAAUUCAAAGAGCCAUGACACCAAAUCUGGCAAUUAGAAAGAUAAGUAAAGUUAGAGUGUGAUUUUUUAAUAGCAACAAUUCCUUUCUUACUCUUGAAUUAGUACAGAACCUCUGCACAAGAUCAGCUAACAACAGCAAAACAACGAAAAUAAUCACAAACCACAAAUGAAACCAACCCAACUUCUUAAUCCAAAAGAAAAUGACAGAACCCACGUCGUGUGACUCCAAAUUCAUGCUAUCCAAACCAUGUUAUGAAAUUGAAGGGAGAUAGCAAUUAACAAUAGCGAGGACGUCAUUAACAGAGCAUCGUAAUAAACAAAAACAGAAGAUGUAAAUGAAAGAAUCGAAACUCAGACCUUAAACCGGGAAUAGAGAUUAACGAUCUCAAAUAGAACCUCAACGGAAGCACUCGACGGUGCUUCGGACAGUACCGCAAGCAGCAAACUCAAAGUUGACGUCUCCGGUGAGAUCUCGAAACCAAAACAAAAGCAGAAACCUUAGCGACCUCCUCUUGAGCUUUCUCGAAUGAGAUCGGCGGCAGUGAAUUAGGAAAUCGGGGGUUAAGGGUUAGGGUUAUUUAUGAGUUUUGAAGGGGUGGAGUGGUCGUUGCAUUUUGCUCUAGAUUCUAGCGAUUUAGGGUGGUCCUUUUGGGUGUGUUGAUGGCUGAAAAAAAAUGAAGACUUAGGUUUUUCAAUUCUAAGGAAUUCAAAAGCCAUAGGAACAGAGCACGGACAUGGUCAUACUUGAUACCUGAUUCUUCUUGGGGGUGGUUGUCUACGGCAUGAGGGUGUCAUUUGGUCGGAGAAGAAGAA
Molecule: long non-coding RNA, 864 nt
Filed under: Nicotiana benthamiana
Lineage: Eukaryota; Viridiplantae; Streptophyta; Magnoliopsida; Solanales; Solanaceae
Description: long non-coding RNA (NBEN_LNC020387)
Source: RNAcentral